GAAUAUGUCCGACGACGGCAGUUGGACAUUUUCUAUCGACAAACAUCACAUGUCAAGGAUCGUAUCUCUCGCUCCCACAACGACAUUGCUUGACCUGGAAAAAAAUGUGUUGAAGGAGUAUUUCCCAACAUUGAAGCUCUCAUCUCCGCCUCUCUCAGUUAUUGGCCGCCAAACACUAAAGAACUCACUACCGGAAUCUCAACUCCCUCGGUCAUGCGACACACGAUGGGUCUAUAUUGUAUUUCUACCGCCAUUUUGAAGCACACAAGGGAAUGAAUCUGUUUGUUACUUUCAAAGUACACCCCGAACCAACUAAUGCGAGCCAAGUAGCUGACAACCUUUUUCCCUUCACCACCCCAAACCAACCUAUCCAAAAAAGCCAUUACCUUUUCAACCGU
This 398-nucleotide long non-coding RNA is filed under the name Brassica napus (rape). Its description in RNAcentral is "long non-coding RNA (BNAP_LNC015329)". Lineage: Eukaryota; Viridiplantae; Streptophyta; Magnoliopsida; Brassicales; Brassicaceae. The record is from RNAcentral.